Molecule: ribosomal RNA, 1458 nt
Filed under: uncultured bacterium
Lineage: Bacteria
Description: bacterial SSU rRNA
Rfam family: Bacterial small subunit ribosomal RNA
Source: RNAcentral
AACAAACGCUGGCGGCGUGCCUAAUACAUGCAAGUCGAACGCAGUAGCAAUACUGAGUGGCGCACGGGUGAGGAACACGUGGAUAAUCUACCUUUGAGUGGGGAACAACCUUUCGAGAGAAGGGCUAAUACCGCAUAAGACCACAGACACUUCGGUGACAGGGGUCAAAGGGGGCGUAAGCUCUCGCUUGAAGAUGAGUCCGCGCUCGAUUAGCUAGUUGGUAGGGUAAGAGCCUACCAAGGCGACGAUCGAUAGCUGGUCUGAGAGGACGACCAGCCACACUGGAACUGAGACACGGUCCAGACUCCUACGGGAGGCAGCAGUAGGGAAUAUUGCACAAUGGAGGAAACUCUGAUGCAGCGACGCCGCGUGAGUGAUGAAGGCCUUCGGGUCGUAAAGCUCUGUUGUACGGGAAGAAGGUCAUUUACCUAAUACGUAAGAGGCUUGACGGUACCGUAUAAGAAAGGACCGGCUAACUUCGUGCCAGCAGCCGCGGUAAGACGAGGGGUCCUAGCGUUGUUCGGAAUCAUUGGGCGUAAAGAGUAUGUAGGCGGCUUUUCAAGUCAGAUGUGAAAGCCCACGGCUUAACCGUGGAAAUGCAUUUGAAACUGCUAAGCUUGAGUGCGAAAGAGGAUGGUAGAAUUCCAGGUGUAGUGGUGAAAUACGUAGAUAUCUGGAGGAAUACCGGAGGCGAAGGCGGCCAUCUGGUUCGCUACUGACGCUGAGAUACGAAAGCGUGGGGAUCAAACAGGAUUAGAUACCCUGGUAGUCCACGCCGUAAACGAUGGAUACUUGGUGUUGGAGGUAUUGACCCCUUCAGUGCCGAAGCUAACGCGUUAAGUAUCCCGCCUGGGAAGUACGGUCGCAAGAUUAAAACUCAAAGAAAUUGACGGGGGCCCGCACAAGCGGUGGAGCAUGUGGUUCAAUUCGAUGCAACGCGAAAAACCUUACCUGGGUUUGAAGUGCUAGUGAAUAGGGUAGAGAUAUCCUAGGCCUUCGGGACACUAGUAUCAGGUGCUGCAUGGCUGUCGUCAGCUCGUGUCGUGAAAUGUCGGGUUAAGUCCCAUAACGAGCGUAACCCCUGUCUUUAGUUGCCAGCAUUAAGUUGGGCACUCUAAAGAGACUGCCGACGUUAAGUCGGAGGAAGGUGGGGAUGACGUCAAGUCCUCAUGGCCUUUAUGUCCAGGGCUACACACGUGCUACAAUGGCGGUGACAGUGGGCAGCCACCUCGCGAGAGGGAGCUAAUCCCCAAAAGCCGUCUCAGUUCGGAUUGUUCUCUGCAACUCGAGAGCAUGAAGGCGGAAUCGCUAGUAAUCGCGGAUCAGCAUGCCGCGGUGAAUACGUUCCCAGGCCUUGUACACACCGCCCGUCACACCAUGGGAGUUGGAUUCACCCGAAGGCGUUGCGCUAACUCGCAAGAGAGGCAGGCGACCACGGUGGGUUUAGCGACUGGGGUG